CUGCUGCCUUCCGUAGGAGUCUGGGCCGUNUCUCAGUCCCAAUGUGGCCGGCCAACCUCUCAGUCCGGCUACUGAUCGUCGCCUUGGUAGGCCGUUACCCUACCAACUAGCUAAUCAGACGCGAGGCCAUCUCUCAGCGAUAAAUCUUUGAUAUAUCUGCCAUGCGACAAACAUAUAUUAUGCGGUAUUAGCAGUCGUUUCCAACUGUUGUCCCCCUCUGAAAGGCAGGUUCCUCACGCG
This 240-nucleotide ribosomal RNA is filed under the name uncultured bacterium. RNAcentral describes it as "partial 16S ribosomal RNA". The record is from RNAcentral.